Molecule: ribosomal RNA, 461 nt
Filed under: uncultured bacterium
Lineage: Bacteria
Description: partial 16S ribosomal RNA
Rfam family: Bacterial small subunit ribosomal RNA
Source: RNAcentral
CCUACGGGAGGCAGCAGUGAGGAAUAUUGGUCAAUGGGCGCGAGCCUGAACCAGCCAAGUCGCGUGAGGGAUGAAGGUUCUAUGGAUCGUAAACCUCUUUUAUAAGGGAAUAAAGUGUGGGACGUGUCCUAUUUUGUAUGUACCUUAUGAAUAAGGAUCGGCUAACUCCGUGCCAGCAGCCGCGGUAAUACGGAGGAUGCGAGCGUUAUCCGGAUUUAUUGGGUUUAAAGGGUGCGUAGGUGGCCUUUUAAGUCAGCUGUGAAAGUCUGUGGCUCAACCAUAGAAUUGCCGUUGAAACUGGGGAGUUUGAGUAUGUGUGAGGCAGGCGGAAUGCGUGGUGUAGCGGUGAAAUGCUUAGAUAUCACGCAGAACCCCGAUUGCGAAGGCAGCCUGCCAAGCCAUGACUGACGCUGAUGCACGAAAGCGUGGGGAUCAAACAGGAUUAGAUACCCCUGGUAGUC